RNAcentral lists this long non-coding RNA (1379 nucleotides) under Homo sapiens (human). RNAcentral's name for it is "long intergenic non-protein coding RNA 1471". Lineage: Eukaryota; Metazoa; Chordata; Mammalia; Primates; Hominidae. The record is from RNAcentral.
AAUGCAGAGGUGGGGGACAGAGUGGGUGGGGAGGGGAGCCGCCAUACAGUGGCCAGGACCAGCUUUGCCCAAGUGGUGGCAACCGCAUGACCACAGGAACGAUGGCGUGAGCCCCGUGGCAACCUGGAGGAAGGAAAGCAAUCAGCUUGAUCAAUGCCUACUGUAAAGACGGCACCGCCCUCCGGAGGUCCUUUCUCAGCCCUGGUGUUCGGACAGCCACAUCCCCUCGCAGCAGGGGGAGGCCUGAAGCAUAGAGGGGCCCAUGCAGGUCUAUUCUGUUUCAGCGAAUUGCCUGGGAAAUAAUCCAGGAUCCAUUUCGUGUGGUCAUCUUGUCUCCCUGGUCCCCUCCAGCCUUUCCUCAUCUUUUGUGACCUGGUCACUCUGGAAGGGCGCUGGCCAGUUAGUCCACAGGAUGGGCCUCCCCUGGGGCUUUUCUGAUGCUUCCUUAUGAUGGCACUGGCAUCCUGAGGGGGAGGACCACAGAGAGGAGGUGCUCCUCAUCACACCACAUGGGGGUCCAUGCACCAGUGCCACUGCUUUCCAGGGCUCUUCACCUUCAUCACUGGUGGAGGUGGCGUCUGCCAAGAAGCAGAAAGUUGAGGCUUAGAAGGUGCACGGCCCUACCUCUUCCGAGGUGCCCCUGCGGGCUGUCUACAGACCAGGCAGCACAUGCCUGAUAGCAGCUGCAUAAGGAAAAGCAGGAGCCAGCUCGUGCACAGUGGCCUCAAGUGUGCACUGGGCAUGUUCUCUGCCUCACCAUCCCUGUGUGACAGAUGAAGCUUCAAGGACCACAGAGGGCCAAGUGCAGGAGUAAGAGGCUGGCGUGCUGACAGUGGCCAAGGGCAUUGGAGGGAAGGACCUGUCAUCACUGGGCCAAGGAAGGAACUCCAGACUGCCUACUUCCAGAGGGCCUGCUGAGAACCCCAAAGAGCUCUCUCAACAAACACACCCACGAGUUCCAGGAGUGAGGCUGCAGGGAACAGCCUCACUCUCAGAGGGGAUACAGAAUUGUUCCACUGGACAAGGGCUGGGAUCGUCAUAGGAUGCCGUUGGCCUGUGGUUUCCAACAGAGGUGCAGUUCAUUGAACUGUGGUCUACAGUCCAUUCUCUAACUUGGGGACCCUUGAAGAAGUGUGGAAUCAUGACAACAACCCUGUUGGGAGACACUAUUAUUCCCAUCACAUGGAUGAGCACACGGAGGCAAAAGGAAGUUAUAUGAUUGUCUGAGAUCACCCAGUGAAGACUGUGUGGCUGGGAGUUGUCCCCAGUGUUAUCUGCACGCUGCUUCCUUUUGAUGCCUGGCCCUUCUUUAUCAAAAGAAGCAUUGGCAGAAUCUGGGUGUUUAUGGGUCAGCUCAAAAUAAAUUACUUUAUAUGUCA